Non-coding RNA from Cinara cedri, 315 nucleotides. Lineage: Eukaryota; Metazoa; Arthropoda; Insecta; Hemiptera; Aphididae. The record is from the annotation of a GenBank genome assembly.
AAUUAGCUUUUUUUUUUAAAAAAAAAAAAAAGACAUUCUUAUACGUGACAUUCGCAAGAAGGCGUCCAUAUCAAAGGCGUCUCUAAAAACUGAAUAUGACCUUUCGCAGUAAUUACCGAAAGAUAUAAUUCACCUCUUCUCGGAUGCCUUGUUUGAGAUCGUCAAGUGUCUUCGGUAUUCUUUGGUAUACUUUCCAGUUAUAGGAUGCUACUACAGAAAAAAAUCACUAACCUAAAAUUCGGAAAAAUUUGUCUCCGUACGGAUUAAAUUUUUCUAAAUGGGGAUAUUCCAUAGGCUGAUUUAAUGGAUUUAACG